AUUGAACGCUGGCGGAAUGCUUUACACAUGCAAGUCGAACGGCAGCACGGACUUCGGUCUGGUGGCGAGUGGCGAACGGGUGAGUAACACAUCGGAACGUGCCCAGUCGUGGGGGAUAACGUAGCGAAAGCUACGCUAAUACCGCAUACGAUCUACGGAUGAAAGCGGGGGAUCGCAAGACCUCGCGCGAUUGGAGCGGCCGAUGGCAGAUUAGGUAGUUGGUAGGGUAAAGGCCUACAAAGCCGACGAUCUGUAGCUGGUCUGAGAGGAUGAUCAGCCACACUGGGACUGAGACACGGCCCAGACUCCUACGGGAGGCAGCAGUGGGGAAUUUUGGACAAUGGGCGCAAGCCUGAUCCAGCCAUUCCGCGUGCAGGAUGAAGGCCUUCGGGUUGUAAACUGCUUUUGUACAGAACGAAAAGGCUCUGGUUAAUACCUGGGGCUCAUGACGGUACUGUAAGAAUAAGCACCGGCUAACUACGUGCCAGCAGCCGCGGUAA
This 500-nucleotide ribosomal RNA is filed under the name uncultured bacterium. Its description in RNAcentral is "partial 16S ribosomal RNA". It matches the Rfam family "Bacterial small subunit ribosomal RNA", at positions 30 to 523 of the family's 1533-position model. The record is from RNAcentral.